Prosopis cineraria is the source of this 1850-nucleotide RNA transcript. It is a transcript of the gene named extensin-like, with no coding region annotated. The transcript has 3 exons. The record is from RefSeq and is a predicted model, not a curated record. NCBI's taxonomy places the organism in Eukaryota, Viridiplantae, Streptophyta, Magnoliopsida, Fabales, Fabaceae.
CUUCCCGUUCCAUCUCGCCGCCGUUCUCUUCUCCUCCAUCCUUCUCAGCAAGGAACAUCGAAGAGAGGCCGAACCCGACUCCUCUUGGCAUUCUUUCUCGUCCUUGCUUCAUUUCAGAUCCUUCUCCUUCGGCUUUGAGUUCAAUACCCCAAUCAAGUUCCAAUAUCUCGCUUCUUCAGCGCAAUUGGUGGUGGUGGAUGGCAAAAAACAACAAAUACACCUCCAUUAACUUCAACCACAUCUACGAGAAAAGCAGCAGUUCCGCUUCUAACACCAACCUUGCCAAGAACCCAGCUCCCUCACUUUCCCCUUCGUAUUCUGCUACUUCUUAUUCUGCAAUUUCUGCUCCCAACAAGACUCAUGGCCGUAUGUUGGUUCUGACUCGACCCACUCACACACCCACACCCAAACCCCUUCAACCCCAGCUCCAACAGCCACCCCAGCAACCAUCUAAGCUGACUCAACAAGUACCGGAUCAACCCCCCUCCGAUUCCGGUUCCAACGCCAUCUCACUUCGUCCGUUGGGCCGGACGGGGGCCACUUCGUCUCUCUCGCCCCCUAUUUCUAAUUACGACAAAGAUAAGGAGUUGCCUUCCGCUCCACCGGUCAUUUCUCCGAAAUCCGACAAGUUCGUGCCACCUCACCUUCGUCCCGGAUUUGUUCCGAGGGAGGAGAAGCCUGGACCGGAAUUGAGUCGGCCACACAGGCAGCUGGGUCAUGCUGGAUAUCCGGGUCGAUAUGUGGAAAACGGCCGACCCAAGUCGGGUGGGUACGAGAGGAUGAGGAGAGGCGGCUUAUCGGAUGUGGGGUUGAUGAAUCGGCCGAGAUCCAGUGGGGGUCGACCAAGUUCCAGUGGAUGAAAGCGCCAGAGAUUGAAUUAUUUCCCGAGGGCAAAUUGAACUCGUUUAGCAAAACAGAUGGGUUCUCUUUGGCAAUUCAAUGCACGCAUCCUUUGGCCCUCUGGAGUUGAUAUCAAUUUUCACAGAGAUGACAUUUGGAUUCAUUGAAGAUUGACCUGAUCAGGUGGCAACCUUUCGACCUCUGUUGUCAGAAUCUGAGAAAGGCUUGAUUACGGGCAAACUUCAAUGAGGGAUCUUAAACCCACGACAGGGUUUAUCUUAUAGUCUUUGAAGCCAGCACCCAAGAAUAGCUUAGCCCACUCUUUCUCUGUGCGUUCUUUUCCGUUACUCAGCAGCAUCAUCAACAUAUUGAAGCAGAGCUGUGUUCCAAGUGAUUCAUCUUCCUCCUCCUUUGGGUUCUCCAUUUUUACCAUGUCAAUGGCGAUCGCCUUAUUAUCUCUCCUCCCAUCACCCGAAAUCGCCUCUCUGCAGUUCUUUAGUAUUUUGACACAUUCCUCGUUGCCCCAAUCAUGCAAUACGCUCUACUUGGCAUUGUUUGCAAGAAGAAUGUCAGAGGUUAGACAUUUGCAUGUAUAUGUAGAAGAUGACAGCAUUCAACAGAUUAUAUAAUUAUAUGUUGCCUUUGGCAUACCUUCAAUAUGAUUCCAUCUGCUGGAGGAAUGGCCUCAAACAUGUCGCCUGCAACGAAUUUCAAGUUGUUGGUUCCCUGCAUGUUAAGACAGACCAUAAAUUUCUAUCAAGCAGGCCCAAUAUCAAGCUUAUCACAUAUAAACCCAAUACAGCUAUGAGUCACAAGAAGGCCCAAUCUAUUGUUUAAUGGGGUGCUGCGUUUUACACUUUAUCUGUACAUAAUUGUUCCUUUGUAAAUCUGCCAUCUGAUGUAAUUCUUUUCCUAGGGUUCCACACCCUACCUAUAAAUAGCAAUAUACAUCACAGAGGCUGUGCGCCACUUUUAUGCAAUUUCAUAUUCUCUACUUUUUCUACUCUGCA